GUCCACGCCGUAAACGAUGCAUACAAGUUGUAGCUGGGAUUGACUCCGGCUGUGACGAAGCUAACGCAAGUAGUAUGCCGCCUGGGGAGUACGGUCGCAAGACUAAAACUCAAAGGAAUUGAAGGGGCCCGCACAAGCGGUGGAUUAUGUGGUUCAAUUCGAAGCAACGCGAAAAACCUUAACCUGGAUUUGACAUGUCACGACAACUGAAGAAAUUCAGCUUUCUCGCAAGAGACGUGAACACAGGUGCUACAUGGCUGUCGU
Molecule: ribosomal RNA, 264 nt
Filed under: uncultured bacterium
Lineage: Bacteria
Description: partial 16S ribosomal RNA
Rfam family: Bacterial small subunit ribosomal RNA
Source: RNAcentral